UUUAAAUUGAGAGUUUGAUCCUGGCUCAGGAUGAACGCUGGCGGCGUGCUUAACACAUGCAAGUC
RNAcentral lists this ribosomal RNA (65 nucleotides) under Clostridium perfringens. Its description in RNAcentral is "partial 16S ribosomal RNA". It matches the Rfam family "Bacterial small subunit ribosomal RNA", at positions 1 to 63 of the family's 1533-position model. Lineage: Bacteria; Bacillati; Bacillota; Clostridia; Eubacteriales; Clostridiaceae. The record is from RNAcentral.